This 274-nucleotide ribosomal RNA is filed under the name uncultured bacterium. RNAcentral describes it as "partial 16S ribosomal RNA". It matches the Rfam family "Bacterial small subunit ribosomal RNA", at positions 523 to 796 of the family's 1533-position model. The record is from RNAcentral.
AUACGGAGGGGGCUAGCGUUGUUCGGAAUUACUGGGCGUAAAGGGCGUGUAGGCGGAUCGAUUAGUCAGGCGUGAAAGCCCCGGGCUCAACCCGGGAACUGCGUUUGAAACUGUCGAUCUUGAGUUCGGGAGAGGGUAGUGGAAUUCCCAGUGUAGAGGUGAAAUUCGUAGAUAUUGGGAAGAACACCAGUGGCGAAGGCGGCUACCUGGACCGAUACUGACGCUGAUGCGCGAAAGCGUGGGGAGCAAACAGGAUUAGAAACCCCAGUAGUCC